Molecule: RNase P RNA, 379 nt
Filed under: Spelaeicoccus albus
Lineage: Bacteria; Bacillati; Actinomycetota; Actinomycetes; Micrococcales; Brevibacteriaceae
Description: Bacterial RNase P class A
Rfam family: Bacterial RNase P class A
About the family: Ribonuclease P (RNase P) is a ubiquitous endoribonuclease, found in archaea, bacteria and eukarya as well as chloroplasts and mitochondria. Its best characterised activity is the generation of mature 5'-ends of tRNAs by cleaving the 5'-leader elements of precursor-tRNAs.
Source: Rfam by way of RNAcentral
UGGGUCGUUCAGACGGUCGCGUCGGUCUUCGUGUCGAAGGCCGCCGAGGAACGUCCGGGCUCCACAGGGCAAGACGGUGGGUAACGCCCACCCGGGGUGACCCGCGGGAAAAGUGCCACAGAAAACAAACCGCCGGCCCGUACGGGCCGGUAAGGGUGAAACGGUGGUGUAAGAGACCACCAGCGGGCCAGGCGACUGGUCCGGCUCGGUAAACCCCGUCUGGAGCAAGGUCGGACAGGCGACGAUUGAGGGCUGCCCGCCCGAGUCGCCGGGUGGACUGCUGGAACGUGCGGGCAACCGUACGUCGAGAUAGAUGACCGUCGCCCGAGUCGGGUAACCGCACUUGGGAACAGGACCCGGCGUACGAGCGGCCCAUCCG